ACGGGCGUAAUUCAGCGGUAGAAUGUCAGCUUCCCAAGCUGAAAGUCGAGGGUUCAAGUCCUGUCGCCCUGG
This 72-nucleotide transfer RNA is filed under the name Coxiella sp. DG_40. RNAcentral describes it as "tRNA-Gly". It matches the Rfam family "tRNA". Rfam says of the family: Transfer RNA (tRNA) molecules are approximately 80 nucleotides in length. Their secondary structure includes four short double-helical elements and three loops (D, anti-codon, and T loops). Further hydrogen bonds mediate the characteristic L-shaped molecular structure. tRNAs have two regions of fundamental functional importance: the anti-codon, which is responsible for specific mRNA codon recognition, and the 3' end, to which the tRNAs corresponding amino acid is attached (by aminoacyl-tRNA synthetases). tRNAs cope with the degeneracy of the genetic code in two manners: having more than one tRNA (with a specific anti-codon) for a particular amino acid; and 'wobble' base-pairing, i.e. permitting non-standard base-pairing at the 3rd anti-codon position. Lineage: Bacteria; Pseudomonadati; Pseudomonadota; Gammaproteobacteria; Legionellales; Coxiellaceae. The record is from RNAcentral.